Molecule: non-coding RNA, 73 nt
Organism: Potamilus streckersoni
Lineage: Eukaryota; Metazoa; Mollusca; Bivalvia; Unionida; Unionidae
Source: the annotation of a GenBank genome assembly
GCUUAAGUGGUCUAGUGGUUAUAGCGUCCGCCUCGGAUGUGGCAGGUUGUGGGUUCGAUCCCCGUCCGAGUCA